GACGAACGCUGGCGGCGUGCUUAACACAUGCGAGUCGAACGGAAAGGCCCUGCUUUUGUGGGGUGCUCGAGUGGCGAACGGGUGAGUAACACGUGAGUAACCUGCCCUUGACUUUGGGAUAACUUCAGGAAACUGGGGCUAAUACCGGAUAGGAGCUCCUGCUGCAUGGUGGGGGCUGGAAAGUUUCGGCGGUUGGGGAUGGACUCGCGGCUUAUCAGCUUGUUGGUGGGGUAGUGGCUUACCAAGGCUUUGACGGGUAGCCGGCCUGAGAGGGUGACCGGCCACAUUGGGACUGAGAUACGGCCCAGACUCCUACGGGAGGCAGCAGUGGGGAAUAUUGCACAAUGGGCGGAAGCCUGAUGCAGCAACGCCGCGUGCGGGAUGACGGCCUUCGGGUUGUAAACCGCUUUCGCCUGUGACGAAGCGUGAGUGACGGUAAUGGGUAAAGAAGCACCGGCUAACUACGUG
This 468-nucleotide ribosomal RNA is filed under the name uncultured bacterium. RNAcentral describes it as "partial 16S ribosomal RNA". It matches the Rfam family "Bacterial small subunit ribosomal RNA", at positions 28 to 507 of the family's 1533-position model. The record is from RNAcentral.